This 740-nucleotide ribosomal RNA is filed under the name uncultured bacterium. Its description in RNAcentral is "bacterial SSU rRNA". It matches the Rfam family "Bacterial small subunit ribosomal RNA", at positions 8 to 796 of the family's 1533-position model. The record is from RNAcentral.
AGAGUUUGAUCCUGGCUCAGAGCGAACGCUGGCGGCAGGCCUAAUACAUGCAAGUCGAACGCACCUUCGGGUGAGUGGCGGACGGGUGAGUAACACGUGGGAACGCGCCCUUUGGUUCGGAAUAAUCCGGGGAAACCUGGCCUAAUACCGGAUGAGCCCUUCGGGGGAAAGAUUUAUCGCCAUUGGAGCGGCCCGCGUCUGAUUAGCUAGUUGGUGGGGUAAAGGCCCACCAAGGCUACGAUCAGUAGCUGGUCUGAGAGGAUGAUCAGCCGCACUGGGACUGAGACACGGCCCAGACUCCUACGGGAGGCAGCAGUAGGGAAUCUUGCGCAAUGGGCGAAAGCCUGACGCAGCCAUGCCGCGUGAAUGAUGAAGGUCUUAGGAUUGUAAAAUUCUUUCAGCGGGGAAGAUAAUGACUGUACCCGCAGAAGAAGCUCCGGCUAACUUCGUGCCAGCAGCCGCGGUAAUACGAAGGGGGCUAGCGUUGCUCGGAAUUACUGGGCGUAAAGGGCGCGUAGGCGGGUGUUUAAGUCAGAGGUUAAAUCCCAGGGCUCAACCCUGGAACUGCCUUUGAUACUGGGCACCUAGAGUUCGGGAGAGGUGUGUGGAACUCCGAGUGUAGAGGUGAAAUUCGUAGAUAUUCGGAAGAACACCAGUGGCGAAGGCGACACACUGGCCCGAUACUGACGCUGAGGCGCGAAAGCGUGGGGAGCAAACAGGAUUAGAUACCCUAGUAGUCC